This 418-nucleotide ribosomal RNA is filed under the name uncultured bacterium. Its description in RNAcentral is "partial 16S ribosomal RNA". It matches the Rfam family "Bacterial small subunit ribosomal RNA", at positions 359 to 774 of the family's 1533-position model. The record is from RNAcentral.
GAAUAGUGGUCGAUGGGCGGAAGCCUGAACCAGCCAUGCCGCGUGCAGGAUGACGGCCCUCUGGGUUGUAAACUGCUUUUGUACGGGAAUAACCUCCAUCACGUGUGAUGGGCUGCAUGUACUGUACGAAUAAGGAACGGAUAACUCCGUGCCAGCAGCCGCGGUAAUACGGAGGAUCCGAGCGUUAUCCGGAUUUAUUGGGUUUAAAGGGUGCGUAGGCGGCUAAAUAAGUCAGGGGUGAAAUACGGCAGCUCAACUGUCGCAGUGCCUUUGAUACUGUUUAGCUUGAAUAUGUUUGAAGAUGGCGGAAUGAGACAAGUAGCGGUGAAAUGCAUAGAUAUGUCUCAGAACUCCGAUUGCGAAGGCAGCUAUCUAAGUCAUUAUUGACGCUGAUGCACGAAAGCGUGGGUAUCAAACA